This 500-nucleotide ribosomal RNA is filed under the name uncultured bacterium. Its description in RNAcentral is "partial 16S ribosomal RNA". It matches the Rfam family "Bacterial small subunit ribosomal RNA", at positions 30 to 523 of the family's 1533-position model. The record is from RNAcentral.
AUUGAACGCUGGCGGCAUGCUUUACACAUGCAAGUCGAACGGUAACAGGGUGCUUGCACCGCUGACGAGUGGCGAACGGGUGAGUAAUGCGUCGGAACGUGCCGAGUAGUGGGGGAUAACGCAUCGAAAGGUGUGCUAAUACCGCAUACGUACUGAGGUAGAAAGUGGGGGACCUUCGGGCCUCACGCUAUUCGAGCGGCCGACGUCUGAUUAGCUAGUUGGUGAGGUAAAGGCUCACCAAGGCGACGAUCAGUAGUGGGUCUGAGAGGAUGAGCCGCCACACUGGGGGUGAGGAACGGGCCAGAAUCCUACGGGAGGCAGCAGUGGGGAAUUUUGGACAAUGGGGGCAAGCCUGAUCCAGGAAUGCCGCGUGCAGGAUGAAGGCCUUCGGGUUGUAAACUGCUUUUGUACGGAGCGAAAAAGCUCUCUCUAAUACAGAGGGCUCAUGACGGUACCGUAAGAAUAAGCACCGGCUAACUACGUGCCAGCAGCCGCCGUAA